This 497-nucleotide ribosomal RNA is filed under the name uncultured bacterium. RNAcentral describes it as "partial 16S ribosomal RNA". It matches the Rfam family "Bacterial small subunit ribosomal RNA", at positions 28 to 507 of the family's 1533-position model. The record is from RNAcentral.
GAUGAACGCUGGCGGCGUGCCUAAUACAUGCAAGUCGAGCGAACAGACGAGGAGCUUGCUCCUCUGACGUUAGCGGCGGACGUGUGAGUAACACGUGGAUAACCUACCUAUAAGACUGGGAUAACUUCGGGAAACCGGAGCUAAUACCGGAUAAUAUAUUGAACCGCAUGGUUCAAUAGUGAAAGACGGUUUUGCUGUCACUUAUAGAUGGAUCCGCGCCGCAUUAGCUAGUUGGUAAGGUAACGGCUUUCCAAGGGUACGAUGCGUAGCCGACCUGAGAGGGUGAUCGGCCACACUGGAACGUGGACACGGUCCAGACUCCUGCGGGAGGCAGCAGUAGGGAAUCUUCCGCAAUGGGCGAAAGCCUGACGGAGCAACGCCGCGUGAGUGAUAAAGGUCUUCGGAUCGUAAAACUCUGUUAUUAGGGAAGAACAAAUGUGUAAGUAACUAUGCACGUCUUGACGGUACCUAAUCAGAAAGCAACGGCUAACUACGUG